CUACGGGUCGCUCCAGUGGGGAAUAUUGCACAAUGGGCGCAAGCCUGAUGCAGCCAUGCCGCGUGUAUGAAGAAGGCCUUCGGGUUGUAAAGUACUUUCAGCGGGGAGGAAGGGAGUAAAGUUAAUACCUUUGCUCAUUGACGUUACCCGCAGAAGAAGCACCGGCUAACUCCGUGCCAGCAGCCGCGGUAAUACGGAGGGUGCAAGCGUUAAUCGGAAUUACUGGGCGUAAAGCGCACGCAGGCGGUUUGUUAAGUCAGAUGUGAAAUCCCCGGGCUCAACCUGGGAACUGCAUCUGAUACUGGCAAGUGUGAGUCUCGUAGAGGGGGGUAGAAUUCCAGGGGUAGCGGUGAAAUGCGUAGAGAUCUGGAGGAAUACCGGUGGCGAAGGCGGCCCCCUGGACGAAGACUGACGCUCAGGUGCGAAAGCGUGGGGAGCAAACAGGAUUAGAUACCCGCGUAGUC
Molecule: ribosomal RNA, 464 nt
Filed under: uncultured bacterium
Lineage: Bacteria
Description: partial 16S ribosomal RNA
Rfam family: Bacterial small subunit ribosomal RNA
Source: RNAcentral